GGGUAUGUGACGUCAUCCGUUGGCAGCCAUCGGCCGCCGAGACUCGGUCGAGAGAGAGAGAGAAAAAAAGAGAGGCUGCUCUUCUACCGACAGCAAGUCAGGCGUGGAAACGAUUCACAGGUCACUGGCACUGGUUACAAUAUAGGAUAUACUCACUGAGCGUGUUCAUGAGUGGAGUACUCUGAUGUACAAAACAUAUUUCCUGCCUCUGCUCGCUAGUACAGCAACUACAUUUGCUAUAGCUGCUGCAACUAGUACUACUUUCUACUAACUGAGAAGCAGGGCAUGACGGCAGCAUCUGUGGAUCAUCAGCUUACAUCUGGUACUACAGGCCCGACUGGUAGAGGGCAGGACAAAAUGGCUGGAUGCAAACCAUCAAAUAGUUGGCUUUCUACGACUGUUGUGUCGAUUACAAAAGCUGCUGAUGACGAUGGUGGAGAAGGGGGAAGCGACAACAAAAUAUCCGAGUCGAAAAUAUCAAGGUAAGCAACUCCAGCACCUCCAAAGCCGCAAUAAAACUAGUUGUUUCCCUUGGACUGUAUGCCACUGAACCCGCUGUUUCGGGUUUACUAGUCUUCUGAUGUUCAUUCAUAUUACACAAAUGAGUUUUUAUGAAAGGUAAAAGAAAGGAAUGACAACAUAAAGCGCAAAAGUUUUGACUGCAUCACUUGCUGCUCUGAAUGAGUUGGUAAUGUUUGUAAAUAGAAUAUGAUUAUAGUAUAAAGUAAAAUACAAAUAUUUUCCAACAUCAAAUUUCCAAAACAUGAAACAAUCAAAUGUAGCUGUCAUGAAAUUUAUUCAUAUUUCAUGAACUGAACAAUGUAUGUCACACACAUAAACUCACUUCAUGGUUUCCCUAAUCUUGCUAAAAUAUCACAUUUAUUGCUAAAAACAUCAGAAAUAUGAAGAAAAUAUAUAUUCCUACAGAAUGUUUGCAACACUGGGAUGGGAAGAGGAUGGGAAGUAGAAGGGUUUACUAAACUGCUUAACAUCCUACAGCAGAUUACCUAAACAACAAUAAAGUCUACACUCAGGAGUCCAGGCACUCUCAAUAAUUUUUCAUUAUCUAUUUACACAAUCAGUUUGCACCAUAAUGCAGCUGCUGUUACUGAAGACUGGUUUUAUGUCCCCCAACUACCAGAAUAAUAAAUGUUACAUAUUCCAGUUUAGAUUUAAAAAAAAAUCAGCACAAGACAUAUAUAACAAGACAGGUUGCUUUGCAAAUAACAAUCACAAUAAAAUCUGGCUCUAAUAUAUAUUUAACUGAUUUUUACUUGGGACACCAAUUUUUUUUUUAAAGACCAGUAGUUCUAAAAAAAUUCCAAGAGAUUGUUAAAUUACCAAGCUGUUACUAGUGCUUCUGUCCAAUAUUCUUACACAUGACCUAACACUUAGAUUUAAAACAGAUUUUACUUCUACAUCCGUUUGGGUAAUUACUGGAAUUUUAAAAUUUACUACCAAUUCAGUAAGUCUCUUACUCACAUAAUAGGCGGUGAAUGUUUGUAAAGAAAGGAUACAUAAAAAGCUUUGUGGUCAUUGAACCAAGAUUAUAAAUGAUUGCUGAGUACCAGAUUCUUUCCAAUCUCUUAUAUUAAAAAAAAAAAAAA
RNAcentral lists this long non-coding RNA (1607 nucleotides) under Pomacea canaliculata. RNAcentral describes it as "uncharacterized LOC112574139, transcript variant X2". Lineage: Eukaryota; Metazoa; Mollusca; Gastropoda; Architaenioglossa; Ampullariidae. The record is from RNAcentral.